Molecule: ribosomal RNA, 404 nt
Filed under: Actinomycetes bacterium
Lineage: Bacteria; Bacillati; Actinomycetota; Actinomycetes
Description: Actinobacteria bacterium partial 16S ribosomal RNA
Rfam family: Bacterial small subunit ribosomal RNA
Source: RNAcentral
UGGGGAAUAUUGGACAAUGGGCGCAAGCCUGAUCCAGCCAUGCCGCGUGAGUGAUGAAGGCCCUAGGGUUGUAAAGCUCUUUCACCGGUGAAGAUAAUGACGGUAACCGGAGAAGAAGCCCCGGCUAACUUCGUGCCAGCAGCCGCGGUAAUACGAAGGGGGUUAGCGUUGUUCGGAUUUACUGGGCGUAAAGCGCACGUAGGCGGACUAUUAAGUCAGGGGUGAAAUCCCGGGGCUCAACCCCGGAACUGCCUUUGAUACUGGUAGUCUUGAGUUCGAGAGAGGUGAGUGGAAUUCCGAGUGUAGAGGUGAAAUUCGUAGAUAUUCGGAGGAACACCAGUGGCGAAGGCGGCUCACUGGCUCGAUACUGACGCUGAGGUGCGAAAGCGUGGGGAGCAAACAGG